RNAcentral lists this transfer RNA (98 nucleotides) under Archaeoglobus fulgidus DSM 4304. It matches the Rfam family "tRNA". Rfam says of the family: Transfer RNA (tRNA) molecules are approximately 80 nucleotides in length. Their secondary structure includes four short double-helical elements and three loops (D, anti-codon, and T loops). Further hydrogen bonds mediate the characteristic L-shaped molecular structure. tRNAs have two regions of fundamental functional importance: the anti-codon, which is responsible for specific mRNA codon recognition, and the 3' end, to which the tRNAs corresponding amino acid is attached (by aminoacyl-tRNA synthetases). tRNAs cope with the degeneracy of the genetic code in two manners: having more than one tRNA (with a specific anti-codon) for a particular amino acid; and 'wobble' base-pairing, i.e. permitting non-standard base-pairing at the 3rd anti-codon position. The record is from Rfam by way of RNAcentral. Lineage: Archaea; Methanobacteriati; Methanobacteriota; Archaeoglobi; Archaeoglobales; Archaeoglobaceae.
GCGGGGGUUGCCGAGUGGCCAAAGGCGGUGGACUCAAGACCUGAUGGGGAGAAAUCCACUCCCGUAGGGGUUCGAGGGUUCGAAUCCCUCCCCCCGCA